GACGAACGCUGGCGGCGUGCCUAAUACAUGCAAGUCGAGCGGAAUGAUGAAGAAGCUUGCUUCUUCUGAUUUAGCGGCGGACGGGUGAGUAACACGUGGGCAACCUACCUUGUAGAUUGGGAUAACUCCGGGAAACCGGGGCUAAUACCGAAUAAUCCAUUUUGCUUCAUGGCGAGAUGUUAAAAGGCGGCUUCGGCUGUCACUACGAGAUGGGCCCGCGGCGCAUUAGCUAGUUGGUAGGGUAAUGGCCUACCAAGGCGACGAUGCGUAGCCGACCUGAGAGGGUGAUCGGCCACACUGGGACUGAGACACGGCCCAGACUCCUACGGGAGGCAGCAGUAGGGAAUCUUCCACAAUGGACGAAAGCCUGAUGGAGCAACGCCGCGUGAGUGAAGAAGGUUUUCGAAUCGUAAAACUCUGUUGUAAGGGAAGAACACGUACGAGAGUAACUGCUCGUACCUUGACGGUACCUUAUUAGAAAGCCACGGCUAACUACGUG
This 499-nucleotide ribosomal RNA is filed under the name uncultured bacterium. Its description in RNAcentral is "bacterial SSU rRNA". It matches the Rfam family "Bacterial small subunit ribosomal RNA", at positions 28 to 507 of the family's 1533-position model. The record is from RNAcentral.